This 300-nucleotide long non-coding RNA is filed under the name Anser brachyrhynchus (Pink-footed goose). RNAcentral's name for it is "lncRNA (ENSABRG00000023083.1)". The record is from RNAcentral. Lineage: Eukaryota; Metazoa; Chordata; Aves; Anseriformes; Anatidae.
UUUGCUGCUGCACCAAGGUCACAGACAAGGAACAAACUCAGCCUUACCUGGAAGUCAGUGGCAAAGCAUAAAGAGUCUGGACCUAGCCUAAACAAGGGUAAAGAGGUAGUAAUUACCUUCACAGCUGAGACAAAUCAUUUCCCUCUUCCUGGUGCCUCCAGCCAGCUUUACCUUGCAGAAUAGAAAGUGAAUAUACAGUACCUAGGAGAAGAAGUCACAGUGACUCCUCUUUCUGCUAGGGUAAGUCAGUAAAAUAAUCUCAAAAAAAUCUUUUUUAGUAGGCUGGGAAAAUGUGAUACC